AAAAUGUGAUAAGUAGCGUGAAUUGUAGACGCUUUGAACGUUAGCUUUCGAACGCACAUUACGCCGUAGGAGUCCUACCCUAGCACAUCUGGUUGAGGGUCGUGAUCAAAAACAGCCACACAGUAGCUGGAAUAGAACGAAUUGGUGAAUCACGAGUCCGGACAACCCGUACGGCCGUACGUCUUUUGUCAUUGUGCUCUAGGGGAUAGCGGGGCUCCCUCUUGGGAGCCUGCGGCUACCUGCCACACGGAUGAGCUAUCAGCUGAGGCGAUCGAUUUCGGCCUUAGGGUAUCAUACUACGCUUUCGUAUAUGCUCUUCGGCGUCUGGGAUACAGCUGAUUGGUUUCGUAAUUGCCUGGUGAAAGUAAAUUGCUUUCCCGACCUCAACUCAGGUGUGAUU
RNAcentral lists this unclassified non-coding RNA (400 nucleotides) under uncultured fungus. RNAcentral's name for it is "sequence contains ITS1". Lineage: Eukaryota; Fungi. The record is from RNAcentral.